RNAcentral lists this ribosomal RNA (109 nucleotides) under Bacillus sp. (in: firmicutes). RNAcentral also lists the same sequence under 1 other name. The record is from RNAcentral. Lineage: Bacteria; Bacillati; Bacillota; Bacilli; Caryophanales; Bacillaceae.
GCGAUAGCGAAGAGGUCACACCCGUUCCCAUGCCGAACACGGAAGUUAAGCUCUUCAGCGCCGAUGGUAGUUGGGGGUCUCCCCCUGUGAGAGUAGGACGCCGCCAAGC